UACGUAGGGGGCAAGCGUUGUCCGGAUUUACUGGGCGUAAAGAGCGUGUAGGCGGCCAAGCAGGUCCGUUGUGAAAACUGGAGGCUUAACCUCCAGACGUCGACGGAAACCGCGUGGCUAGAGUCCGGAAGAGGAGAGUGGAAUUCCUGGUGUAGCGGUGAAAUGCGCAGAUAUCAGGAAGAACACCAAUGGCGAAGGCGGGUUGCUGGGCCGACACUGACGCUGAGGCGCGAAAGCCAGGGGAGCAAACGGG
Molecule: ribosomal RNA, 253 nt
Filed under: uncultured bacterium
Lineage: Bacteria
Description: partial 16S ribosomal RNA
Rfam family: Bacterial small subunit ribosomal RNA
Source: RNAcentral